Long non-coding RNA from Asterias rubens (European starfish), 279 nucleotides. RefSeq lists it as uncharacterized. The transcript has 3 exons. The record is from RefSeq and is a predicted model, not a curated record. NCBI's taxonomy places the organism in Eukaryota, Metazoa, Echinodermata, Asteroidea, Forcipulatida, Asteriidae.
CGCAUGUGCAAUGCAUUGUCUUCGUAUAAAUGUCGUCUGCUCACGAUGGUUGUUAAAAUCAAAAUGUUUUCAUCACAAAACAUCGGAACCCUUGAAGUAACGUCACUGUGUACAAUUCUGGAAGAGACUGAACAACACGAUUUAAGCCAUCACAGACCAUCAACAGAUUUUCAACUGUGCACUCAUUACUGCAAAUACUGGUUCAUUAAGAUGAUGAAGAGCAGCAGUUUCCUCACAGGAGAUGCACCAGGGCUUUGAUGAGAACACUUAGAUUGCAGA